GCUGCCUUAGCUCAGCUGGGAGAGCGCCAGACUGAAGAUCUGUAGGUCUCGCGUUCGAUCCGCGAAGGUGGCA
This 73-nucleotide transfer RNA is filed under the name Pelagophyceae sp. CCMP2097. Its description in RNAcentral is "tRNA-Phe". It matches the Rfam family "tRNA". Rfam says of the family: Transfer RNA (tRNA) molecules are approximately 80 nucleotides in length. Their secondary structure includes four short double-helical elements and three loops (D, anti-codon, and T loops). Further hydrogen bonds mediate the characteristic L-shaped molecular structure. tRNAs have two regions of fundamental functional importance: the anti-codon, which is responsible for specific mRNA codon recognition, and the 3' end, to which the tRNAs corresponding amino acid is attached (by aminoacyl-tRNA synthetases). tRNAs cope with the degeneracy of the genetic code in two manners: having more than one tRNA (with a specific anti-codon) for a particular amino acid; and 'wobble' base-pairing, i.e. permitting non-standard base-pairing at the 3rd anti-codon position. The record is from RNAcentral. Lineage: Eukaryota; Pelagophyceae.